UCUUCAUAUUCAUGAUGAACACAUGUAAUUCUUGGUGGAUCUCGAGCAAAUAAGAGCUCUCUCUCCCACACUGGUAGAAUAGAUGGUGCAUGUGCGCCUCUUGCCAUCUCCGCAAUGGCGGUCAGGAACAGGAGCAAUCCAGGUGCAUCGCACAUUGUGUGGUUUAUGCGCAAUGCAAGUAUGAAACCUCCACAUAUAAGACAUGUCACCUGUAUAUUGCAAAAGUUAGUUACUAGACUUUUUUCUUGAUCAUCAUAUUCAUGCUAGUUAACAAUUCUUUAAAAGAAAAGACAAAAAAAAAAAAAAAAAAACACCAUCUAAAUUAGAUGAUCUAAUUAGGAAACAAAAAUUUCAAAAAAAUUAGGAAUAAAAUUCAAGAAAGAUGGAGUCUCUUUGAAAGAGUCUUGUGCAUGUUAUAGUUACUUGAAAGAGUCUUUAAAUAUAGAGGAAUUUAGACAAAACGCUUAUAGAAGAAAAAAUUUAGACAGAAGACAAAGAGGACGACAUGACGACAGGCAAAAGACCUAGAAGAAGAACGGCAAAGAAAACCUACACAAUAAGGGUGAUGUAAGAUUGGUAGAAAACCUAGGACCUAAUUAGGCAGAUACCAUGUAGAAAUAUAAUUUCCUCUAUUCGGUGUGUAUACAAAUUUUACAAUGUAUAGGGUUAAACAUAAGGAUUGUCGAAGAAAAAUUAGUUUCGAAAAAUAAUGAAAAGCGUCUCAUAAUCUUUUCUUUCCAAAACCACCUAAUGACUUUCUUUAAUCAUAAGAACAAAAAGGCGUGGUAGUAUCGUAGAUAAGUUCAAGUUUGGGUGUGGUGGCAAUAUGAUAAAUUUUCGUUUAUGAAAAUGAUUGCCAAUUUUAUGAAAAAAGUUAAAAACAGUUGCGGUGCCACCAAACUUCAACUUAUUUACAAUAUUGUUAGUGCUUUCUUGUUUAUGUCCUUAUUUGUCAUUAAAAAUUUCAUAUGUUGUUGAUUGCACUAAAUUCUUACAAAAAAUCUUCGACGUGUGUAUGCGACCUUAACGCAAAAAACACUACUCAUACCCUUAACCUACUUCAAAGUUUUUGUAAAGAAUUCAUGGUUAUGACCAAAUAUGAAUACGAAAAACUAAUUAACAUAUUAUUAUUCACUCACCUGAACCAGCAGCAAAGGACAACUAAUAAUUCUAUCAGAGCCUGGAAAAUUAUACAAGAACUCCUCUAAGGGUGGACAAUGGGGUAGAAUUUUUUCUCCUAGUUGCUCAAGUGUGACAUCAGCAAAAGCCUCGAUGAACAAGAUACCUUCACCAUUGCAAUCGACCAUGAGCUUUCUGUUAGGCCCUUCCCUAAGCCUUCCAGCUAAAGGGUAGUAAUACACUAAUGCUCUACUUAAGGCUUCCCUGAUCACCUUAACGGGAUUAUGAUGUUUAUUAAGUGAAGGGUUGUCUUUGUAACACAUUAUGAUUGGAACCUGAAAUCUCAAACCUUCUUGGUCGUCCAUAUCUGAGAGAAACUUUGUUUCAUGAGGCGUUGGCUUUGCCGGAGUUAUAAGUUCUGGUUGCAAUCGUUUCACCUGAAUUACUGAGGAUGGCAUCAUUUCAAUAACGAGCUUAAGAACCAACAAAAGAUCAAAGGAUUUGGAACUCUUACUUUGUGGUAUGCAUGCUAACUAGAAGUUGAUAGUCGGUACUUAUAUAGCGUUAUGCAGAUGCUCUAGGGUACCCGAAUCUUCCGUCCAUGUUUCCACCCGUUGUGAAUGUGAUUCUUUUCUUUUCCAUUAAACAUGUUGUUUAGACUUCUUGUUUAUCAAAAGAUCUGAGCGUGCCACUGUUAUCUUUUUGUAUAAUAGAUUGUUGUAUAGGUGUGAAUUACGUCAAUUACUUGUGCUUCAAGUUAUUUAGACUUCUUGUUUAUCAAAGGAUUGUCAUAGAUGCGUUAAGUCUGUAUAAGGUUAUUUUCCUGCCUUGUAAAUAAUGACUUUUACUUAUAACAUUGUAUGUCCAAAAUGAAGGGAGUUCAGGGCUCUUCCAACCAUUUCCUUAAUCAAAGUUUGCUUUAAUGAAAACAAGUUCAUUAACUUAUCCAGAUUUGAUUAUAGAUGAAACUUUUGAGUGGAAAACAGUCGAAAAUGACUUAAAUACAUGAAGAAAAAUGCAUUAAACAACAAAUCUACUAUUUAUAAGUACAAACAAAAGAGAUUCGGGCAACAUUUAACCUUGUCAGGCAAGGUUGAACUUUUGCAACCACUUUACUUUGUGUUUUCAGGGGUUUGUAUACUGUCAGGGAUGAAAAGUAAAUAGGUUUUACUAGAGGGAAUCGAUGUUACAACACUAAGGGAAUGUAGCAGAGCUUCUAAACUCGACAAAAGAUGGCUUUCUAUAAGGGAACUACAGCUAAAAAGGACAAAAUCUGGACAAAUUGCAACUUUCUGGGUACGAACUUGUUUGAGAGCAAAGUUUGUAUGUCUUUUGAUUGAUUGGCUGAGUGUCCUUGUCUCUGGUGUCCCUCUAUACUUUUAUAGACAAUAUGGCCCAACUGUCCAAGCCUUGCCUUUAGCUGAUAGUUCUCGGAGGGCAGUGAGUCAUCACCUAUUUACUCAUCCAUACCCUUGAAAAGUGUUUUUUGGUUAGUGGUGAGGUGCCCUUUGUUGCCCAUCACUUCAAUCAUAGGCAUAUGGCCUAUGCCUAUGUUGAAAUAGCUUCCAAUUCUUCUCAUACCUAUUGGCUUGUCUGAGUCCAGACUUUUCCUUGCUUUUGCAUCUUUGGGCCUCCAUUAUAACAAAGCCCAAAGUCAAAUAUAAACCCAAACACAAGGAACUAACAAAUUACAUGGAACUUUUUAUUUAGAGCCUUGAUGGGCAUAUACAUGCCCUGUUUUUCCUCAGCCUGUUUACUUGCUUGAAAUUUCAUAUGCAAACAUUGCUUUGCUUCCCUCUUUUCAUUUUGGAUUUGACGGCUUGGCUACAUAGACUUUUUUUUGGGCAUGUGACUUUCUUGUUGUUCAAUUUUGUGUGAACAUUGUAAUUUACUUUAUUAUGUUUUCGGUUUGGUAGGUCGCUUAAGCUAUAUACUUGAAUUAGUGAAACUUGCUCGAUGAUGUGAACUUGAAAUACCUAUUAAUCAUAUAAGCAAACCCAAUUUUAACUUGCAAUUUUAACUUGCAAACCCAAUUAAUCAUAGUAAGAGCAAGUAUGAAGUCGUUCCCACGAGUAGGUUUUUACUUUAAUUUGAGUCUCAACUCAAAUUCAACAAACUUUUAAUACAAAUAGGGCUGAAAAUUUUACCUAGAAUGAAAGAGCCAAGGAGAUCUCAAACCCAAAAUCACGAGUAGGUGGGAAGAAUAUUUGAGUGCUUGUAAUUGUUUCUACAUAUGCUUCUACAGUAAUCAAGGAUCCUAUCAUUGUGCGUGAUUAGUUUACUUUUGUGUUCUUGAUCGCAUAUAUAUCAUUUUGCACUCAUUGGUUUGAGGAAAUUAAGGCUCAGACUUCGUGAUAUUUUCAUGGUUCUUUAAGAAAUCCAUUGAAAUCUUACUAAAUUGUCUAACAAAUGAGCAAUUUGAUUCUUACUGUUGGAGGAAAGAUUAGCAGUUUUCAAUUACACUGCAGAAAGGAAGAAUACAAGAGAAUAUAUAUGGAGGAUGACUGGAUGAGUUUUGAAUGGGAACUAAAAUUUACAUAACUUUAUUGCUUUUAGAUUUUUAUUACAACACUUGGCCAUCUUAUUGGCUAUCUAUAUUAACAUUCAGACCUUUAGAUGACAGCCAUAACUCUUGGAUUAGUUUCAAGAGACACAACUCUACAUUACAGAAAGUGCAUUACGUUUAACACUUACAUCAUUGACAUGAUCCUAGUUGAUCUAAGGUUGUUACAUAUAUCCUCCUUAGGUUCCUGAGUAAUCCUCUCUAGUUCCUGCUGAAAUCUCUCCAUGGCCGAGAAUGGCAAGCACAUUGGUACCAAUAUUCCAUCCUCAGUGUUGUUUUUGUGUUGAAUGUAGAAGCUAAUCAAAUCCAUGGCCUUGGCGGGUCCAGCAAAUACUGGCUGUCCCCAUCCAAAAUUGACAUCUCCAACACCUACACGAGUUAGAUCAGAAACUAAAAAAUUACUUCCUGUCGAUGAAUAUUGAGGUCGCCCUCUUAGUACCAAAAGAUCUGCCACUGAUCUUAAGUAUUCUUCAUUCAUGGUAGCUUUAGCCUUCUUCACCAACUCUAAAGCAUAUCCCAGUGGAUUUUUGCAUAGAAGUUCAGCCUUUGAAAUUGCAGCUGGAAAUGCAAAUGCAUUGCCAUAGUAUCCCAAGGGAAGACGUACAUUGUGGUGCUUUCCCCGUGCAUUGACAAUGCAGGAAACUCGAACAGCCUGUUUUGGAUUAACUUUAAGUGCAAGAGUGCGACAUUUCCACAGACAAGCUAUGAUCAAGUCAAAUGUGGAGCAAGUGGAAAUUAGGUGGGGUGGAAUCUAUUUUCGAAGGACUCUCAUCUCCUUGGCACCAAAGUAGAAGGAUCGUUGAACCAUGUUUGACUGGUUACUGGAUGCGUAUGAGCCAUCAGAAUGAUCAAUCACGUCUUCAUAUUCAUGAUGAGCACAUGUAAUUCUUGGUGGAUCUCGGGCAAACAAGAGCUCUCUCUCCCACACUGGUAUAAUAGAUGGUGCAUGUAUUACGCCUCUUGCCAUCUCCGCAACGGCGGUCAGGAACUGGAGAAAUCCAGGUGCAUCACACAUUGUGUGGUUUAGGCGCAAUGCAAGUAUGAAACCUCCACAUUUAAGACGGGUCACCUGCAUAUUGAAAAAGUUAGUUACUAGACUUUUUUCUUGAUCAUCCUAUUCGUGCUAGUUAACAAUUCCUUAGAAGAAAAGACCCAAAAAACUAUCUAAAUUAGAUGAUCUAAUUAGGAAACCAAAAUUUCAUAAAAAUCAGGAAUAAAAUUCAAGAAAGAUGGAAUCUCUUCGAAAGAGUCUCGUGCAUGUUGUAGUUACUUGAAAAAGUCUUUAUAAUACAGAGGAAUUUAGACAAAAUGCUUAUAGAAGAUAGAAAAGCGAAAAACCUAGAAGAAGAACGGCAUAGGAAAACCUAUGCAAUAAAGGUGAUGUGAGACUGAUAGAAAACCUAGGACCUAUUACCAUGUAGAAAUGUAAUUUCCUCGAUUCGGUGUGUACACAAAUUUUAAAAUAUAUAGGGUUAAACAUAAGGAUUGUCGAAGAAAAAUCAGUUUCGAAAAAUAACAAAAAGCGUCUCAUAAUCUUUUCUUUUCAAAACCACCUAAUGAACUUUCUUUAAUCAUAAGAACAAAGAGGCGUGGUAGUAUUGUAGAUAAGUUCAAGUUUGGGUGUAAUGGCAAUAUGAUAAAUUUUCAUUUAUGAAAAAGGUUGCCAAUUUUAUGAAAAAGUUAAAAACAGUUGCGAUGCCACCAAACUUCAACUUAUUUACAAUAUUAUUAGCGUUUUCCUGUUUAUGUCCUUAUUUUCAGUAAAAAUUCAUAUGUUGUUGAUUGCACUAAUUUCUUACAAAAAAUCUCCGGUGUAUGUAUGUGAUCUUAACUCAAAAAAUACUACUCUUACCCUUAACCUACUUCAAUUUUUUUGUAAAGAAUUAAUGGCUAUGACCAAAUAUGAAUACGAAAACCUAAUUAACAUGUUAUUAAUAAUUAAUUGACUCACUUGAACCAGCAGCAAAGGACAACCAAUAAUUCCAUCAGAGCCUGGAAAAUUAAAUAAAAACUCCUCUAAGAGUGGACAAGGGGGUAGAAUUUUGUCUCCUAGUUGCUCAAGUGUGACAUCAGUAGAAGCCUCGACAAACAAGAUACCUUCACCAUUGCAAUCGACCAUGAGCAUUCUGUUAGGCCCUUCCCUUAGCCUACCAGCUAAAGGGUAGUAAUACACUAAUGCUCUACUUAAGGCUUCCCUAAUCACCUUAAUAGGAUUACGAUUUUCAUUAAGUGAAGGGUUGUCUUUGUAACACAUUAUGACUGGAAGCUGAAACCUCAAGCCUUCUUGGUCAUCAAUAUCUGAGAGAAACUUUGUUUCUUGAGGCGUUGACUUUUCCGGAGUUAUAAGUUCCGGCUGCAAUCGUUUCACCUGAAGUACUGAGGGUGGCAUCAUUUCAGUAACGAGCUUAAGAACCAGCAAAAGAUCAAAGGAUUUGGAACUCUUACUUUGUGGUAUGCAUGCUAACUAAAAGUUGAUAGUCAGUACUUAUAUAGCGUUAUGCAUAUGCUAGGGUUCCGAAUCUUGCGUUUAGGGUGCGUUUGGUAUGUGGGACGGGACGGGACGGAACGGGACGAGGCGUUCCGUCCCGCGUUUGGUGCGCCAAAAAUGGGUGGAACGGGCUGUUCCACGGGACAUAUUUUGGGUGUUUUUGCGUCUCACCUCCCCCCUGGAACGGGUUUGUUCCACGUCUGUGGAACACAAUGUUUUACCAUUUUAAGACAAAUAUACCCCAUGUCUUUUUCAAAAAUUACACCUUCGUUCCGUCCCGUCCUGUCCCGUUCCGUCUCGUUCCGUCUCGUCUGCGUACCAAACGCACCCUUAAGUUUCCAUCCGUUGUGAAUGUGAUUCUUUUCUUUUCCAUUAAACAUGUUGUUAAUUUUUAGAAAGAAACGCUUAAAUCACGCAAUCAACAUGGACUGCAAAGACAAACGUGUUGUUGAGAGUUAUGUGCAUGGGACCGUUUCACAGUGCACACCACAGAUUCAUGCAUAUACAUUAAUACUGAAUAUUAUUUCACCAUCAGAAAACUGAAUACUAACAGGAUAUGAGGACAGGUGUGCGGUAGAAAAGCUUUGAUAGGGAUGGAAGUAAAAAGGCCAACAUCGUAGUACGUACCUGCCGCAAUUACAGUUAUCGUUGGACCCGGCUUCUCUGCCUCUCAUUUUUCAUAUAUUUCUAUCUCCUCUUAUUUGUACAGUCACAAUUAAAUCACGUUAACAUUUUAUAUUACUAUUAUUUUUUAUUUUAUUAUAUUUUAAAAAAAAUUAAUAUAAAAUAUUAACGUAGCUUAACCGUGACUGUACAAAAUAGGAAGGAAUAAGAAUGUAUAGAAAGUGGGAGGGUAGAGAAGCCGGAUCCUUAUUGUGAAGCAUCGAACGUCUGCUAUAAAGGAAAACAAUGUUGUUUUAUAAUGUCUGGCAUAUAAGCACGGGAGAAUAUUGUUUCACAUUAUUAUUAAUUUUGACUGAACUGGUGACUACUUAAUUAUGAGUACAGAUUCUUUUCGGAUCUAAAAAAAUUAAGUUUAAGGAUCAAAUCAUUCGAACUGUUGAAAUUUGAUCCAACAGCUACAAAUAAGAGAUCUCUCUAAAAGUUAUAAUAAUUGUAGCCGUUGAAUUAAAUUUCAACAGUUAAGAUCAUUUGAUCAGUAGGCUUAGGGGGUGUAUUCAAUUGGGAUUUUGAGGGAUUUUAAUUCUUUUAAUGAAUCCAGGGGGUAUUCAAUUAGGAUUUUAAGUGAUUCUCUAAAAUUCAAUGUGUAUUCAAUCAGGAUUUUAAGAUAAUUUCUUAAAAUUCUUAGAAACCCUGGUGUAUUCAAUUAGAAUUUUAAAAAAGUUUAUAACAUUCCAGGUGUAUUAUAUUAGAAUUAGAAUUUAAAAAAUUUAGAAAAGUUGAGGAAUUUGAGGGAAUUUGAGAGAUUUUGUAGUGUAUUUUAAGCAUCUACAAAUCUCACCUCUUCCCAUGAGAUUUUAAGGGAAUUGAAUCAAAAUUUUAUAUGGAAUAUCUACAAAUUAGUUAAACUCCAUAAAAAUUCAUGGAUUUAUAAAUCCAUUAAAAUCUAUCAAAUUCCCAAUUGAAUACAUCCCUAGUUUUUUUUUAAAUCUGGAGAGGAUUUGUACUCCUCAAUUAUCUCAUGAUAAAAGUUUGUUAUGAUGAAGAAAGUUGAGGCUCCGUAAAAUUAAUCGAUAAUAUAGGGAGCAGCUUAAUCACUUGUAUGCAUAUGCAAGGUCCUCUUUUAUCUUAUGUGAAAUUCAUACUCCCAAUAUGUAUCUUCAUGUGUGUCAAAUUUUUAAGUUUACCACAUGAAUAACACAAACCAAGUGGCGUGGAGCACGUCAAGUAUUAGACUUCACACAUGAGACAAUUUGGUCUGAUACCAUGACGAAAGUUGAGGUUCCAUCGCCACUUAGUACUACGGUCUAGUGGUAUUCCUCUCCACUUGUAAGUGAUAUUUUAGGUUUAAUUCUCGCCAAAGGCAAAUUUGAACUGCAUUAUUGUUUGUCUAUUGUGAGUAUAAGCUCAUCAUCUUUCCCUCAGUGUAAAUAAUGUCGUUUGUUAAAAAAAAUAGUUGAGAUUGAAUCAUAAAACUAAUUGACAAUAUGAAGAGUAACUCAAUUACUUAUAAGCACAUGUAAGGUCCUUCCUUACCUAAUAUGAGAUCCAUAGUCUCAACAUUUCACUGUUAAGCAAAUAUGUACAAAAACAAAAUGGAACAAAUAAUUCGAUCACUUGACAAAAUAGAACUCAUUGAAGACAAUAUUAUGUUUGUUAAAAUGGAAAUGGAGCUUCGGAUUACACCCAACUUUUAUCUCCUCACCCAACGAACUCUUUUUACUCUACAAGAUUUUAAAAACUUAACAUCUACUCUCCGCACUCACCAAAUCUACCAAAAUUACCCCUUCCAAAUCAUUCUCCAUCUUACACGGUAUAUCUUCUCAUCCAACAACCUCCCCUUCAAUAUUGGGUGGCCGAACCCACUUUCCUCCAUCAUUAUUCAUGAAGCUAUGCACACUCUUAUAAGGAACAUGAAACCAGCAUCUCUUUGCAACUUCUUAUGAAUUAUGUCUUUAUUUGCGUUCAUUUAAGUUGGUGGUUAGCCAUCCAAUUGUUCUUCCCCAUCAAUUUUUAGAAGAAAUCAAACCAAAUUAGACUCGAGUGUUCAUAUAUUCAUUGGAGUUGAAUAUAACAAUAUGUAAAAUUCCAUCGAAGCCAAAUUGUAUCAAGACUUUGUAACAGCAGCAUGAAGGUCAGGAGUCGACUUGGAGGAGAAGAUCGCGAGCGGGUUCAGCUAGCAUUGGUUAACCGAACCCCCGAUUCCAUGUUCAUGGCUAUCAACUAAUCCUCAACUCUUAUGUUCGGUGCUUAAUUUCUGAACACUGAACUUCCUGUCAAAUUUCGUGUUCGGCAUGUUCAAAUACAUGAUUCAAUCUAGUUGUAUUUUAUUGAAGAAAAUAGAAACAAACCCACGAGGAGUUCAGAGAAAAGUGACGGCUUAGGGCAGAACAUUGCAACUUAAACGUCACUUAUAUACUUCAAGGAUUUUUUGUCACAAUACCACCUUACAUCUCAUUUAAAUUAGCUAGCUAACAAAAGCCUUCAAGACCCCAGUUGUUCUAAGCAACUCUAAACCUCACACCAAAGCAAAUCUAUCUCAUCUCUACAUUUGUAAUUUUGGAUUGAGUCGACAUAUUUGGCCGUUACAAAUUCAGAAAAAAGUAAGCCAUUACUUUUGUUUAGUGCAAAAAUUGGAAGCUAGAAAUCAGUAUAGGCAUCAACACUCUCCUUCAUAUUGUUUCUAGUUUUAACACCAGCAAAUCCCUGAGAUAAACAAAACUCUCUUUUAGCGUACCCUUAGUAAAUAUAUCCACAAUUUGAUCCUCGUAUUUGCAAUAGAGUAAUUCAAUCACAUUAUCUGACGUACAAAGGAUCUCUAAUAAAGUGAUGGUUCCUCUUGACAUGUUUUGUUUUUUUUAGUGAAUCAGAGGAUAUCUUGUUAUAGCAAUUGCAAAGGUGUUGUUGAAUUUUAGUGAUAUAGCAUCUACUUUGAAAACAUAGCUGGGUCGAGGAACCCAAACCCAAUAGAUAAAUAAUCUCAACUAAAAUUUCAAAAGAGGAUUCAAGUACGGUUUCAAUCAUACUAUGUAACAGUGAGGAACAAAAUGAAAUAGAGAAAAAAGAACAAAAGACUCACGAUAUAAUUCAUGGGCACACAAACGAUUAAAGAACCAUUGAGAAAUAAGUACUUUUACAAGACUCAACAAGACCGACAUCUACUACACUUGAAGUUUUCUCUUGUACUUUUAAUCUUGUAGCACACAGUCUUUCUUUUGCUCUCUUUUGGAUGAACACGACGCACUUAGCAGGUUCUCCUCACAACUAAAGAGAUUGCACUCAACUUCGUCACAUAGAUGAACACAACUUCUUCACACAAAUGAAUAUGAUGAAUAAUAUGAAAGGUAUGAAGUGUUUCACUAAGAUCACUCUUCUAACCUAGCACUCAAGAACUUUGCUUUAAACCUUUUAUGCUCAAAUCUUAUAACCAAGCAAAGAUGAAUGAUAGGCUUGAUUUCCUAUGAAACCAACAGCCUAGAAUAAAGGAAACUGGAAUUAUGUACUAGAAUACAAUCAAUUUGGGUUUAUUUCUUAAAACUAGGCAAGUAAACUGAUAUUAUAAUCUUCAAGAUAUGCAAUGACGUGAUUCUCGUUUCCUAUAUGAAUGCACAUUGUCAAUGCAAAUUUUCAUCAUCUUCAGUCUUGAUGAAAAUGCAUCUGCAAAACAAUCAACACCUUUGAUCAAAGACCAAAGUCUCACACGCCCACGAGGUGGGGGGGGGGGUUAGGCCAAUGGAUCUCCGAUGCCUAAGUCAGUUUCUCUAAGGAGAAUAAAGUGUUUAGGGCUUUUUUAGGGUAGCAAAAGCUCUGAAAAUUUGGUAGAUUAUGGGGUAUUUAUAGGGAUAGGGCCGGCCAUAGUGUUAGGGUUUUACCAUACACAUGACGGCAUCCUAUUGGCCAAGGUAUUUAUGGAGAAAUAUUCUCAAAAUAUUCUCAAGAUAUUAAAUAGGAGAUAAUAGAGUAAUUAUCCCUAAUUUAUUUAAAUUGGGAUUACUUGAUUAGAGUCAAUCUUCAAUUGGGAAUGUAUUAAAGAUAGGAUUUGGGUAAUUAGUCCUUAUCUUUAAUUCCUUGCCAAGGGCAAGUGAGAUAUGGGCAGUCUAAUUCAGCUGCUGAGACCUUCAGGGGUGUGAGCUAAGCGUGAGAGCAUAUGAGAAGCCUACCCAUUUAUUAAGGGAAAUCUUGUCUUUCUUGAGAAAAAGUUCACGUGUCGCCUUUAGAAUUUUUGAGAUUAUUUUAGGCUCCACAAAUGUCACGCCCCGAUCCCGACAUACGUCCAUGAUCGACACGUGAUGGCACCAAAUAUUUGUAUCUCAACAUACCCUGCCUUCGGGAUAUGGCAAAUCACGACUUGAGAAUCGAAUUGCAUAGUAAUUUUUCAUACACUUUAUAGCUGCAUCUAACCUCUUUGUUAGAUUGCCUAUGUACCCUAAACAAGGAUCAAGCCAUUUGUAGUUCAUCCUUCAGUAUGCUCGAACAAUCAUCACAUAAAUCGUUAUGUCUCAACAAUAUACCACAAUGCAUAAUAUGCAAUAUUUCAAAGAACAAACGACGAAGCACAAUCAUAUUCUCUAAUCAUUUUGCCAUUCACCCACACCUAUGCAUUCCAACAUCAUCCAAUAAUCACCCCAAUCAAUAACACAUACCAUACACCGAAAUGCAGGGCUAGAACGACACAAUUCGGUCGAAGCCUACUUCUCUGAAACUAAUAUCAAAUCCAAGGAACCAACAAGUCAAUGGAUACGAUUUCAAACCAUUACUCAACAGAAUCGCAGAGUACAAGGGAUUACGGACCAUCACUUAACAGAAUCCAAGUGGAUACGAUUCUGGACCAUCACUCAACGGAAUCGCGGAGUAGAAGGGAUUCUGGACCAUCACUCAACGGAAUCCAAGAGGAUACGAUUCUGGACCAUCACUCAACGGAAUCGCAGAGUAUAAGGGAUUCCAGACCAUCACUCAACGGAAUCCAAGUGGAUACGAUUCUGAACCAUCACUCAACAGAAUCGUGGAGUAGAAGGGAUUCCAAACCAUCACUCAACGGAAUCCAAAUGGAUAAGAUUCCAGACCAUCACUCAACAGAAUCGCAGAGGACCAAGGAACAUAUCAACGGCUCAAGCAAACAACUCAUGAAUCAAGUGCUCAAUUUACAAUGGCUCAGCGAAAUGAAACAAAGCACAAGUAUUAAAUUAGAACGGUCAACGAAGCGAGAAAUGAAAUAAUGAAAUGGGAUAUGAAACAAGUUUUGAAGCAACAAACCCCAUGGUAAUGGGUUAACGGCCCACUACUAGCCCUCACUUUCAUCAUAUCAUACCAUCUAUGCAAAUCAACCACAUUUCAAAUAUGCACGUCAAAUCACAUAUCACACUCAUCAUUAGUACACAAGCCAAAUCAUGUUUAAUAAACUUAAGUCUAUGGCUAAAUAUAUAAAAUCACAUUUCAAUAGAAAUCACAUUAUAAAACCAAGUCAUAUUCACAAAUGAUACUAAUAUAAGAAAUCAAGGUAAUAGCCAUAUCACAUAUGUUCAAGUCACUCUCUAACCAAUGUAGACCCACUAGACUUCACUUAAAGUCUCCCGUAGUACUCAUUUUAGUAUUUAGAACUUUUUGAGACAUGUUGACCAAAAGUCUGACUUUGGUUAACAGUAGGGUCCACAAUCCUACAUAAUUCGAUCCGGAAGAUCCGUAUGUUGGAUUUCGGAUCCGUAACUUCUAAAGGUCCAUAUUAUGCUCAUAGAACAACAUAUUAAAUUCUCAUCACGAUUUGACAGUCGAAUCUCCAUCAAUUGCUAGAAUUAGGUGGCGGUCGACAUUUUAUUUUACGAAACUUACAACCCAAAUUCGAAAAGAUCCAUACGUCGGAUUCCCAAUCAGUAAAUUCCUAAUAUCCUCAAAUAUUAUGUUCUAUAAUAUAUUAAAGUUUGAUGAUUAUUCAACAAUCGGAUCGUCAAUUCACAUAAUAAUCAAGUGGCAACCUCUAAUAAAACUAUGUUCAAACGAUGAGAUUUCGUCAUUUGGACUUCACAUAUGAACUUGGGGUAUCAAAUUUAGCCUAAGAAGGUCAAGGGUGCCUCGGCCCACGUGUCGCCGCCACACGCUGCAGCAUACGGUGGCCGACCGUCCCAACUCGCUGAAAAAUUCAACUAAUUCCAAAAAUUACCAAAUUUCACAUAAAUGAAGAUCUCAAUGAUUAAAGCAACUUUUAUACUCAUGGCCAAGUCCAAUUUGGCUUGCACUCUUCGGAACCCUAGAAUGGUUGAGCUUCGAUUCUCCUUCCUCGGUGUUUUGACGCCCCUACAACUAAUUGGGUCUUGUUCCUGGGUCCAAGGGGAGUUGACUAAGAGUGGUGAUGGGUGGUGUAACUCGCUGAAACGGCAGAAUCGCCGUCGAGCACCUCCAGUGCUCUGAUGGAGUUCCUCACGAUUUUGGGCCUAAAAACCCUCAAAUUUCGGUAGACAUGGUAGAGGCGAGGUUAUCGACUAGUUUUCAGGUGUUGGAUUGGUGAAUUUUGCCUGAAAAAUGGUAGAAAUUGGCCAAAAUUAGAAUCAGGUCGAAACCGAUUUUGUCGUGGGUGUGGUCGACGGUAAGAGGAAGGUCCUCCUCCUGAUUAGCUGCCCCCACCUUUCUUCUAAUUGGUCCCUCCCAUUUUUUUCUGAUUGGUACACACUAACUCUUACAUGAUUGGCCUAUUUCCCACAAAGUGAGAAUUAUUUAAUUAAAAACUAUAGUUUAGUAAACGAUUCAAAUGUCCGUAACUAUACUGUUAUAAUCCGGACUCAUAAACGGUUUUCGCCUAUGCUCUCAUGGUUUCAAGAUCUAUUUGAAAACAUUAAUUAUGACCUCGAAAGGUCAACGACCUUUAAAUAAUUAAAAUCCAAACUUCAAACUUCGUAGCUGGUUUAAUUAAAAUCUAAAUUCAAAUAAAUUAAUAUAAAUUCCUGAAAAAUAGUAUAAAAUCUCAAUAAUAUAAACACGUAGAUUAUAACAGUGAAAUCCAGGCACAGGCUGCACGUAGGAAAAUGAUAGUAGGUGUAGAAAUCCCAAACCGCUUGGCUUGUAAAGUUGUUUCCCAAUUUGAACUUGAUCUCCUUUCUAGUUUUGGAGAUAAACCUCUUCUAGGAAAAGAAAACCAAUUGCCCUCAAUACCUAUUUAAUUCUACCUUAAGCAAGGAAUUAAAAAAAUUUGGAGAGCAAUCAUUAUUCCAAUAAGGAAAAGAACCCAAAGGAAAUUUUUCUUCCCCCUCCCCUAGCUUUCUUCUUCUCUUGCCCUUGCAAAGUCAUCUCUCAUUGUUGUUCUUCUUCUCCAUGCCGCACCAAGGUAAGAAAAAUUUGAAUUUUCUUUUGAAUUUUUAUGGGAGUUUUGGGAUUUGAAAAAUUGGCUGAGCAGGGGCCGAGAAGGCGUGAGUGGCGUGGCAAGGAUGCCACAGGACUGCUGGUGAUGCGGUAAGAGGGUCGGCUGGCCUAAGCCAGGGGCUUGGGUUGGCUCGGGCCGGAAGGAUCGGCAUGCUGGGGCGCGAGGAGGCCGGCUUGGGUCGGGUCUUCAAGGCUGCUGAGCACGGGCCCUUGCAGGCGAGAGGAGCGAGGGAGAGAAGGAGAGGCCGGCUCGGGCCAGGCCUCCCGCUAGCAUGCUGGGCUGAGGGCCUUGGGAGGAAACUUUGUGAACUAAUUAAUUAUUUAGGGCUUAACUCAAUAGACACAUUAGGCACAAAGCUAAGCACUGGUCUAAAUUAUUUACUAGCGUAACAUUCAACCACUCAUGCACAACCCAAUGACUGUGUUUCAUCAUGUAACCACAAAAAUACUUUGAAAAUGCAGUUUUCUGUUUAGUAAUGAAACCGCAACAAGCUAUGGUUUCAAAUCCCUUUUGAUCCAAUCAGUCGUUCUUGUUCAAGAUUUGUCAGAGUCUCGAUUGCUAUCGUCACCACUAUACAUGCCUGAAAACACAAACCAACAAUGUAAAAAACCUGCAUAUGAAGGUACGAGGGCUAUAAACUAUAAACGAGCUCAGGGUAUCAUAAUUCAUAUACAUACUUUUGCAGGUUAUAUUGAAAUAGAACUAAAUUCGAUUCCCCCUCCCCAAAUCGCUUGUCUCCGUCUAGUUUGGAGACACACAAGUAUUGUCAUACUUCUUACUGGAACUUACCCAAACAUAGUUGGAGACACGCAAGUAUUGUCAUACUUCUUACUCAAACAUAGGUGGAGAUAUGCAAGUAAUGUCGUAUUUCUCACUCAAACUUGGAGAUAUGCAUUCUGCAGCUGUUUAUAUUAAGUGUUAUAUUUGCUUGUUAGGUCGACAUUUACGAGUCUGAAGAUUAAUUGAUCCAACAAUGUUCCACCAAAAUAGAUGAAUUAGCACAAGCAUCUGAACUCCUUUGAAUCUAUUAAAAGAUGUCUCCUUGUUCUAGCAAUUUAUUAAUAUCCCAUCACGAACAUCCAUCCGAUACUCUACGACUCACAACCUACUUUCUCUCCUCUUUUUUUCUUUCUCAAAUCUAGUACAGGUUGUAAUGAAUGUAAAUUUAUGUAUAGCAUAUGCAGUAAAACAAAACAGCAUAAUCAGACACUUAAAAACACAUAAAACUGAAUUAUCCCACCAGCAGUAAACAGUUUUAAAAAGUAGAACACUCACCUAAGGUUUUCAGUAGAUCAUAUUGCAAGGACAAUUGAUUGCUAAUUUGUUGAAAUGCCAUAACGGCUGCGAAGAGCAUCAAUUUGUUUCUCAAAGGACUGCGAAAGCUCAGCAAUUGAUGUUUUGCAAGCUGAAAAGUAUGAAAUACAACCCAGAGAAAAAGUACUCAGAAUGAAUAACAGUAGUUUAUACAUUGUUGGCUCAAGAUAGAUUGUUAGUUUGUUACCAAGCACUUAUAAAUCUUAUUAAUGACUCCUAGGAGGCAAUUUAUUAUUUGUCACUCUUUUCUUGUUUGUUCAAUCUUCUUUCUCUUCUCCGCAGUUAUACAAUAUCUUGUUUUUGAUCAAUGAUUCGCUUCUUAGAACAAAGGCAACAAGGCAAACAAGAAAACUCAAAAGGGACAAAGCCUAAAACCCCACCUGAACAAGCUCCAGCGUAGGGUCGGGAACUAAUUAAAAGGGAGCAGCGAAGAGAACGAAAAAACAGACACUAAACGGAAAACAAAACAGCUAACAAACUGAAGAACCUAAGUUAGCACACUAAAUAGUUAGCCAUUAUUGUCCCAAUAGUUUUAAUAGCAAUGUGAAACUUAACAGAUAAAGAAAUGUUAUCCAACCUGUAUCACUUCGAACAUGAGAUUAAAAACGAUUUCCACAUAUGGACACAAUAAUCACUUGUCAAACCCUCAAAAUGAACGACGUCUCUCAAAUGUUUUGAUGAUAAUGCAACAUAGAAUGUUGGUUAGUAGAGAUGAUUGAAUCCAGACUCCAUCAGUACGACAUUAUUACCAAGACAUAACUUACAAAAAAUCCACAUAUUUUAAGCAUGUCAGAGAGGUUUUAAACUGAAGACAUACCACGAGAAGCGGUGGUCUGUGCAUCUGCCAUGAACUCUGCAUAUGAAGCCUGAUAAAAAAGCAGUAGGAUGCACUUGAUGAAUAAGCACUACAAACAUACAAUCAGAAGUAAGUAAACGAAACAAAGAAAGACUAGAUUAAUAUACCGCCAUUGCUUCCCGACUUUCAGUAAUCCUUUGGGUCAUCUUCUUGUAUUCCUUAUCUGCUUCAUCCAACACUUGUUGGCAUGCCUGGCUCUGGAUCUGACGGCACAAAGAGACUUAUAAUUAGGUGAAAAAAACGUGCCCUAGACUGAAUUCUAAUGCUCCUCUUCCCUAACUAUUACUACCACUGAGUACUAGUUCAUCAUACAGCAGACAAAACCUUAUUUUAAAUAGACAUUAAGUUUUAAUUAUAAUUAAGAAUUAAUUAGAUUUAAAUUUAUUUUGCUUUAGCAGACCUUGUAACAGUAAUGAGAUUUAAUUAUGAUAUGAAAGUGAGAUUAAAUCAACAUAAUGUUAUUACUUGGCGAAAAUUCAAAUUUCUGUUUUCUCAGGUAUUUUCUCAGCAACCAAACAGACACUAAUCCACCAACUCAGAGUGGGAUCUGUCGACGUGGAGCUUGAUAUCGCGGAGACGAGAGGAGGCGAGGUGCUUGAGAUCAGGAAUCGAAGCUAAAGCGUUACUUUUGGGGGAUUCCAUGAGCGCCGCCACAACAGAGGCUGAGGCUCCUCCUCCGGCAGCGAAGGCCUCCCUCUUGCGCCUGCUGCUGGUAUUGAAAAUUGGCGAUUUCGGUGACGGUUGGUUUGCAGGGGAAGAAACCACUGGAAAUUGUAACCGCGCUUCCAGAAAGUUCGCGGUUAAGCAUCUCCGGGUUCGACUUCCGCUUCCACUUCCGCCGCUUUUCUUCAUCUCUCCGGUCGCUUACUCGUCUUCUUUCAGUUUUCCCUCUCUCGGCUCUGUGUUUUGAAAAUUUCAAAUUUUCUAAGAAAAUGGAGUUGGCCCCCUGACAGGUGUCUAUUUAUAUGUACGGGAUUUUAUAUGCAAAUUUUGGGCUAACAAAAUACAGAAAUAAAAAAUAAUAAUUGUAUCGACCUUCAUUGAAUUUUAUCAUUUCCUUUUGUUGGAUAUUAUUUGCUAACUAAAAGGUGAAGUUGCAAAAUGUACACGUUGCAUUUGACGCAGAGUGAAAUGUACGGAUGAUAUUUAAUGAAACACAUAUUAUAUCUUCAACAAUCUUCAUUAUUAUUUCGGUGCAUCACGGGUAACGUUGGAUUUGGUAUAUCAUUUUAAUAACAGUUAUGGUACUUGAAACACCAUAAUUAUGUGUAGGGGUGGGUUCAAAAAACUGAAAACCGAAAAAAACCGAAAACCAAACCGAACCGAAACCGAAAAAAUCGAACCGAACCGAAUUGAAAAAACCGAACCGAACCGAAUUCUUUUGGUUCGGUUCGGUUUUAGUGAUCUAGAAACCGAACCGAACCGAAUUGAUUAAAUUAAUUUUUUUAUUUAAUUAUUUGUUUUGGGUAUUAUUUUCUAAACCCAAUUUGUAAGUUAAAAUGUGCUAACCCAAUGUGUUGCCAAACUUUAAGCUCAAAAUAUUAAAAAAAUGCCUAUAAAAACUCUAAACCCUAACCUAUUAUUUCUCCCCCAUAUAAGGUUCCGGAACCAAACCUCUUCUCGAAGUACCUACAUCCAUCUCCAUAGCACUGUCUACUUCUGCGCCAGCUUUCUUUUCCAAAUCUACUCUCAUAUAACAUGUAACAUAAUCCAUAAACAUUUAUUUCGGGUAGAUUACUUGGGUAAUUUGUGAUGGAAAAGAAUCCAACACACACUAAAUAAAUCCAUCCACGCAUUACCUUUACUAAUCAAGUUGUCAACAUGCAGUUACAAGCAAACAACACUGAUCUUUGAACAACAUCAUACAAUUUAACUUUUCUAAGUCAUUUGUACGAUUUUUGUGUUGUGAGGUUGUUAGUUUGGACUUUGAAAGACUUGAUUGAUGAUUUUAGUUCAACUUUAAAUGUUUAUUUUCAUUGUUUUUUAUUCUAGUUAGAAUGUUUAUGUUAUGAUUGUGUUGGAUAUGUUAAAAUUUAAAAUUUCAAUGUUUUUCAUUUUUUGAAAAAAAAUAAAAACAAAAAACCGAAACCGAACCGAAAUCGAACCGGAAAAAACCGAACCGAAAAAAAAUUGAACCGAACCGAACCGAACCGAAAUUUCGGUUUGGUUUCGGUUUUGGCAAAAAACCGAACCGAUUUAAACCGAACCCACCCCUAAUUAUGUGUAUUGUGCAGAUUUGGAGGGAACUCAAUUUGUCCGCUCCUUACACCUGAAUUCAAGUUUCUCGUACAUAAGGAAUAUUGCUUUGUCAAAAAGAAAAAUGUGUAGCAAAUUCAAAGAACUAUGGAGCUUUUCAAUUGCAAGAAAGAUUUGGCAAUUCUGAAUUCAAUGUAAUUUCAAGAUCUUUGAAUCAAAUGAUGCAUUAAAACAUGAAUUUUGAAAUGAUGGAAUUAUAAAACUAGAACGCAGAAGUUAUAGGAGACUAGGAGUUGGUGAAAUUUCUUAUUUUUGUAUGUCACCUCCAGGGAAGGACAUGCAAUAUACAUCCCUCCCACAAGUCACAACAUGCAUCCUACAUUUCAAAGUUUCUGCAAAUGUCCUCUCCGGAUCUCUGUGUUCGAGCAAUGCAAUUGUAUACGGUAGCGAGCAGUCAUUGCUUCAACACCAACGUCCUGCAGACUGCAGUAGUCAGUAUACAAUGACUUUGCAUAUAUAUUGAGGACUUACUAAUGUCUUAUGGAACCAACACCCUCCUGAUUAGCACCGUGAAGAUCUGGGAGGUCAGCACUGACGGAGAACUUCAUCCACCUCUUUCUCUCGACGUAAGUGAGACAGGGCUGCAUCACAAGGCCGAUCAAUAUAGCGACAAGGCUCACAACCACGAUCUUAAGUGUCGAAAGAGCCAAAACUACACAAAUCAGUAUGGUUGGAGGAAUACACAUAAGAAUGGCUCCAACUGUUCCAACGGGUAUCUUGUAAGGACGAGAUGUAGCUGGGUACUUCACCCUUAACCGUAUGAAUGAUAUAAACUCCAAAAUAAUUUCAAAACAGUACAACAAGUUUUCUUCAGCUACAAUCUCUUGGAAGCUCAACCAAGAUAACUAAAGGACUCCAGAAGCUGAGAACAAAAUGCCAAUCACUGAGGUUCCAUGACGAGACCGCUUACCAAAAAACUGGGGGAGCAUCCCUUGUUCUGCCAUCCCAAGAAGUUGGAAGGAGUCGCUGCUCAUUUCAGCAACGAACAUCCCCAUAUUCGACACUGCUGCAGCUCCUUGGAUCCACCAUCUCAACCAAACUCCCCCAAUAAUCUUAGCGAUAUCUGAGAAAUAUCCAUUUGUCCACAACUCACGGUCGAGUGGAACAGCCCUAGUACCCAUUAAGAGCGGGAAGAAAUAUCCAAGAACAACUAAUAUCAAAGCAUAAAACAGAGCCUUUGGGAGAGUUUUCUUUGGUUUUUCUACCUCUCCAGCAAGUGUACUUAUCGAGUCCCAAUAGUUGAGAUUCCAGAAGAGAGUGUUGAGAUACAAAUUCCAGUCCACAUUGCGUAGAUUUACAACUAGCCAUCUCGAGGGCUUCACCUUGGAGUCUGCAGGUCCACAAUGUAAAGCUGCACUUCAAGAAGCUACUCGUAUUGUUAGAGCAGUUCCACCGUGGGAAAGGCCCCCCCAGGCAAUACACUAUGUUAUCCACCCAGUGAACAGUAACUGCCCUUAAUGAAUAGUAAUCGCCUUUUGCAUAUCCACCGUUGCACUUCAAUAGCCCUGGCACUAGGUAAUAAACUAUUAGUAUUUUUUUUUAUUUAUAAUUAAUAUUAUAUUACUUAUUUUGUAUAAAUUAAUAUUAUAUUAUUAAUUUAUCUCUUCCUUUUGAAAUGUCUUCCUAGAAACUUCUACCAUUUUUUUUUUGCUGCACUUCCGACACACAGCAGAGCAGCACACCAGUGUUAAAGUAGCAGGUGUGGCAGUCGGCGAAGGUGAGGGAGAGAGAGGGGUUGGACCAGAAGGCAAAGGUGAAGUAGGAGGUGAAGUUGGGGUUGCAGUACUCCGGGGCGGCCAGGACUGCGCCUCUUCCGAGGGGAGUGGCAGAGAGCUUGGCAAUGUCGUCGACGAGGAUGAGGUCGGAGUCGAGGUAGACAACGCGGCGAACGCAGAGGGGGUGAAGUUCGGUGAGGUAGGAUCGAGCAUAGUUGAGGGGGCAGUUGAGGGCGGAGCGGAUGGAGGUGGAGAUGAGGCCAGAGACGUCGCCUAGAAAAGCAAAGGAGAGAUGGCUGAUGUCGCCCAAAUCGAAAAAAAAAUUUAAAAAGGCGUCUGACGUCAGACCCACCUCAGGCGCUCGGGCAGGCACGAAUCCACGGGCCUCUCCCUCGGGCCUGCUCGGGCUCCCUCGCCAGCCAACGCUGAGCUUCCUCCCUCAGGCAAUCAAGCCCUGCUCCGUCCACUGUCCCUCGAGCAACUCAUCCCGCUGGAGCCACUCUUAGUAAAGGCAGUUAGUUAAAGAUAAUUUUCCCAUUUAUCAGUUUAUAUGAUUGUAAUUAAUUGUAUGGUUCUUUAAUUAUUCUUAUUCAUUGUAUUUAGAAAUUGGAAGUAUUCUCUAUACCUUGGAAUAUGAAGGGUCAUUGUACAUCUUUAUAAUGUAUUCUUUUCACUCAAAUCAAUAGAGGAAAAUCAAAAACUUCACACAUAUCAUUGAACAAAGUCUUACAGCUAAUGGAAAAGCAAUAAGGGCGUUGUUUGGUGCAAGCCAGGUUGGAAUUUCACACUUUGCACCCACCAUUUGCAAAUCAUGAGUCCAGUUCCCACCGGUGGGAUAUUAUUUUUUUUUUCACUUGUCACUUGCAUAUUGACCAAGUCUAUGUGCAGCUUGAUAUGAUGGUGACUUCAUGUAUUUUCUGACGGAUGCUGCUGUUAUAGCGGUUAGUUUAUCAAAUUAUUGAUGUUUAUUUGCUUGACACUUUGCAAUUUCAGUAUAGAAAUCCCAAUAGAGUGAGUUGCAGAGGGGCGAGAGAGUGAAUUGCAGAGUUGAGGGAUAUAUAUGAAAGAGAGGGAGAGUAAGUGAGAGAGAUUGAGAGUAUUGUUUGAGAGACAGACAAAUUUUUGGAUGGUGGAAACGGUCCGGGUCGAGGACUCGUUUCCUCAACAAUUAGGACUCGCCCCGCCCCGUCCCGUUUCAAAUUUAAAAAAAAAUUGGACCCGCCUCGAACCGCUUAAACCCGCCCCUACCAGUGGGUCCAUGCCCCGUUUGUCCACCCCUAAUUGUGAUUGUUGUUGGAUAUCAUAUAUUAUUAUUACAAUGUCCAGGAUUUGGGAAUUGUUAUACCUUUAAGGGAGUUUGAGGUUCUGCCGAAAUUUUAGUAUAAUUUGUAGUGUUUGUUUGACUUUUUUUAUUUUUUUCAGCAAAGAAAAAUACCCGCGGACCGUGUCGCUAGUUGAAGAAGGUGAAGGUCACCCAACUGACUAACGGACGUAUCACGAUCGGACACAAUGACUGACAUCAGGCUACACCAACGCUGGAGAAACAUAACGCAUUGGCCCAUGACAUUGGUCACGUCGUUUGGACCUAUUGCCCUAUGCGAUAGAAGUCUUGGAAGGCAAUGUCAAACGAGGUGAGGAUGAAGGUGCGCACUUAUUUGUCGAUAAGUAUCAUGCCUUUUUAUUGCUUUUUCUUUAAAUUUUAUAUAUUUAUAUUACUUAAUGUAUGUAAUUAAUUUGUUACAUUGCAAACGAAUUACAAUUUCGACGACAUCAACGACAAUAUGUUGGCGUACAUCAACAGGCUCUUCACUGAACGGUACAAGCAGUGGAAAAGAGACAUGCAGCAAUAUUUUCAGACAUUUGAUGAUCCGCAAGUCACUCUUGAGGAGGGUUGCCCAAAGGAGUUUGAGGAUCGGGAAAAAAUUGGAUGUGGCUCCGCAAUCAUUUUAUAUUAAACUUGCGGAGUUUGAUCCGCAAGUAUUCUUCAAUUAUAAUUACUAUCUUACGCAUUCAAGUAUCAUGGUUAUUAUUUAAAUGUUAUUAUUAAUAUUUCAUGUUAUAUUAAACUUGCGACGAUGAUGGGGAAGAGGUAAUUGGUUCUUCAGGAGUCUGCCUCCCAGCUUCCUCUCGAGACUCUGCUUGAGUCUGUGGAUCCCCCCCGAGGAUACGAGGUUUCAGAUCCUUACAGACACCUUGGAUCAGACUCUCGGAUGAAGGCUGAGGACGUAUUGUAGGGGGAUGGGGAAUGCUCGACGGCGGGAACCUUGAGCCUUUUCAUCCUCCCAGUCGAAGGGUGAGGUGACAGUUUUGACAGUAGAGGUGGCCGACCUUAGGAUUGAGCUCGCCUUGUAUAAGAGCCAGAUGUCACUAAUUGUACAGGCCCUCAGUAGUUUGGCAUUAGACUCCCAGAUAUUCGUCCCUUGUCAAUGUGCUAGCCCCUCCAACCCAAGCACUCCGCCCCUUCAACCUUAGAACCCCGAGCCCUUCUUGCCCCGAUCUUUCCAUCUACAUGUGAACGACGACCCUGUAGAUUAUUCCACCUUUUUUUUCUUAGUUGUUUAGUCCCUAACUUUUAAAACAUUUUCCUUGUACAUACAUUUUAUUGUUAUUUUAUUUUUAUUUUAAAUAAAUUCGUUACAUUUUUUUAUUUCUAUUUUAUUUUUUUAUUUUAUUAUAAAAUUAAACCCAGAACAAAAAAAUAUAAUUUUAAAAAAAUGUUUUUUUUUUGCGGGACGAAUAGCUUCAUCGUGCAUACUUUUUUGCAAUAACUCACUUUCGUCGCGCAAGAAUAUGUCAUCGCACAAACUUUUUAGACACGAAUAUUAGUCGUCCCAAGUUUGUAUCCUGGCAUUUUGUGCGACGAACAUAUUCGUUCCUAAAACUUUGGUGCGACGAAUGAGGAACCAUCACACCUUAUUUUCCGCGACCAAUGCUUUUGUUCAUUGCGCAAAGUCUUUCUUCAUGAUCUUUGCACGACAGAUUUUGCGCGACGAAGUUUUUGUCUUGCAUACGUUUGUACGAUGCUAUUAAGCUUUGCCCGACCAAUUUAUGUUCGUCGUGCUAAAUGUUAAACGUGGUGGUGAUUGAUUUUUACUUUAAUUUGAGUCUCAACUCAAUUCAAGUUCAACAAACUUUUAACAAAAUAGGGCUGAAAAUUUUAACUAGAAUGAACGAGUCAAGGAGAUCUCAAAACCAUAAAUUACGAGUGGGUGGGAAGAAUAUUUGAGUGGUUGUAAUUGUUGCUCCAUAUGAUCCUACAGUAAGCAAGGCUUCUAUCAUUGUGUGUGAUUAGUUUACUUUUGUGUUCUCGAUCGCUUAUAUAUCAUUGUGCUCUUAUUGGUUUGAGGAAAUAAAGGCUCAAACUUCCUGACAUUUUCAUGAUACUUCAAAAAAUCCAUUGAAAACUUACUAAAUUGUCUAACAUAUGGGCAAUUUGAUUCUUACUGUUGGAGGACAGAUCAGCAAUUUUCAGUUAUACUGCAGAAAGGAAGAAUACAAGAGAAUAUAUAUGGAGGAUGACUUUUGAACGGCGACUGAAAUUUAAUUUUAUUGCUUUCAAUUUUUUAUUACAACACUAGGCCAUCUUAUUAUUGGCUAUUUUUUAAUAACAUUCAGACCUUUUGAUAACAGCUAUAACUCUUGGAUUAGUUCCAAGAGACAUAACUCUACAUUACAGAAACUGCAUUACGUUUAACACUUACAUCAUUGACAUGAUCCUAGUUGAUCUAAGGUUCUUACAUAUAUCCUCCUUAGGUUCCUGAGUAAUCCUCUCUAGUUCCUCCUGAAAUCUCUCCAUGGCCGAGAAUGGCAAACACAUUGGUACCAAUAUUCCAUCCUCAGUGUUGUUUUUGUGUUGAACGUAGAAGCUAAUCAAAUCCAAGGCCUUGGCGGGUCCAGCAAAUACCGGUUGUCCCCAUCCAAAAUUGACAUCUCCAAAACCUGCACGCGUUGUAUCAGAAACUAUAAAAUAACUUCCUGUCGAUGAAUAUUGAGGUCGCCCUCUUAGUACCAAAAGAUCUGCCACUGAUCUUAAGUAUUCUUCAUUCAUGGUAGCUUUAGCCUUCUUCACCAACUCCAAAGCAUAUCCCAGUGGAUUUUUGCAUAGAGGUUCAGCCUUUGAAACUGCAGUUGGAAAUGCAAAUGCAUUGCCAUAGUAUCCCAAGGGAAGACGUACAUUGUGGUGUUUUCCCCGUGCAUUGACAACACAUGAAAAGCGAACAGCCUGGUUUGGAUUAAUUUUAAGUGCAAGAGUGCGACAUUUCCACAAACAAGCUGUGAUCAAGUCAAAUGUGGAGCAAGUGGAAAUUAGGUGGGGUGGAAUCUGUUUUCGAAGGACUCUCAUCUCUUUGGCACCAAAGUAGAAAGAUCGUUGAACCAUGUUUGACUGGUUACUGGAUGCGUAUAAACCAUCAGAAUGAUCAAUCACGUCUUCAUAUUCAUGAUGAGCACAUGUAAUUCUUGGUGGAUCUCGAGCGAACAAGAGCUCUCUCUCCCACACUGGUAGAAUAGAUGGUGCAUGUGCGCCUCUUGCCAUCUCCGCAAUGGCAGUCAGGAACAGGAGCAAUCCAGGUGCAUCACACAUUGUGUGGUUUAGGCGCAAUGCAAGUAUGAAACCUCCACAUAUAAGACAGGUCACCUG
RNAcentral lists this long non-coding RNA (24919 nucleotides) under Malus domestica (apple). RNAcentral describes it as "long non-coding RNA (MDOM_LNC005462)". Lineage: Eukaryota; Viridiplantae; Streptophyta; Magnoliopsida; Rosales; Rosaceae. The record is from RNAcentral.